AUAACGACUCUCGGCAACGGAUAUCUCGGCUCUCGCAUCGAUGAAGAACGUAGCAAAAUGCGAUACUUGGUGUGAAUUGCAGAAUCCCGUGAACCAUCGAGUUUUUGAACGCAAGUUGCGCCCGAAGCCAUUAGGCUAAGGGCACGUCUGCCUGGGUGUCACGU
Molecule: ribosomal RNA, 164 nt
Filed under: Phedimus kamtschaticus
Lineage: Eukaryota; Viridiplantae; Streptophyta; Magnoliopsida; Saxifragales; Crassulaceae
Also listed under: 16 other names
Description: 5.8S ribosomal RNA
Rfam family: 5.8S ribosomal RNA
About the family: 5.8S ribosomal RNA (5.8S rRNA) is a component of the large subunit of the eukaryotic ribosome. It is transcribed by RNA polymerase I as part of the 45S precursor that also contains 18S and 28S rRNA.
Source: RNAcentral